Molecule: ribosomal RNA, 109 nt
Filed under: Pteropus alecto (black flying fox)
Lineage: Eukaryota; Metazoa; Chordata; Mammalia; Chiroptera; Pteropodidae
Source: RNAcentral
GUCUACUGCCAUGCUGCCCUGAACAAGCCCGAUCCUGUCUGAUCUCGGAAGCUAAGCAGGGUCGGGCCUUGGAUAAGGGACCACCUAGGAAGACCAGGUGCUAUAGGUG